RNAcentral lists this ribosomal RNA (1396 nucleotides) under Bacillus sp. MH02. Its description in RNAcentral is "bacterial SSU rRNA". It matches the Rfam family "Bacterial small subunit ribosomal RNA", at positions 68 to 1444 of the family's 1533-position model. Lineage: Bacteria; Bacillati; Bacillota; Bacilli; Caryophanales; Bacillaceae. The record is from RNAcentral.
GACAGAAGGGAGCUUGCUCCCGGAUGUUAGCGGCGGACGGGUGAGUAACACGUGGGUAACCUGCCUGUAAGACUGGGAUAACUCCGGGAAACCGGAGCUAAUACCGGAUAGUUCCUUGAACCGCAUGGUUCAAGGAUGAAAGACGGUUUCGGCUGUCACUUACAGAUGGACCCGCGGCGCAUUAGCUAGUUGGUGAGGUAACGGCUCACCAAGGCGACGAUGCGUAGCCGACCUGAGAGGGUGAUCGGCCACACUGGGACUGAGACACGGCCCAGACUCCUACGGGAGGCAGCAGUAGGGAAUCUUCCGCAAUGGACGAAAGUCUGACGGAGCAACGCCGCGUGAGUGAUGAAGGUUUUCGGAUCGUAAAGCUCUGUUGUUAGGGAAGAACAAGUGCAAGAGUAACUGCUUGCACCUUGACGGUACCUAACCAGAAAGCCACGGCUAACUACGUGCCAGCAGCCGCGGUAAUACGUAGGUGGCAAGCGUUGUCCGGAAUUAUUGGGCGUAAAGGGCUCGCAGGCGGUUUCUUAAGUCUGAUGUGAAAGCCCCCGGCUCAACCGGGGAGGGUCAUUGUAAACUGGGAAACUUGAGUGCAGAGUAGGAGAGUGGAAUUCCACGUGUAGCGGUGAAAUGCGUAGAGAUGUGGAGGAACACCAGUGGCGAAGGCGACUCUCUGGUCUGUAACUGACGCUGAGGAGCGAAAGCGUGGGGAGCGAACAGGAUUAGAUACCCUGGUAGUCCACGCCGUAAACGAUGAGUGCUAAGUGUUAGGGGGUUUCCGCCCCUUAGUGCUGCAGCUAACGCAUUAAGCACUCCGCCUGGGGAGUACGGUCGCAAGACUGAAACUCAAAGGAAUUGACGGGGGCCCGCACAAGCGGUGGAGCAUGUGGUUUAAUUCGAAGCAACGCGAAGAACCUUACCAGGUCUUGACAUCCUCUGACAACCCUAGAGAUAGGGCUUUCCCUUCGGGGACAGAGUGACAGGUGGUGCAUGGUUGUCGUCAGCUCGUGUCGUGAGAUGUUGGGUUAAGUCCCGCAACGAGCGCAACCCUUGAUCUUAGUUGCCAGCAUUCAGUUGGGCACUCUAAGGUGACUGCCGGUGACAAACCGGAGGAAGGUGGGGAUGACGUCAAAUCAUCAUGCCCCUUAUGACCUGGGCUACACACGUGCUACAAUGGACAGAACAAAGGGCUGCGAGACCGCAAGGUUUAGCCAAUCCCACAAAUCUGUUCUCAGUUCGGAUCGCAGUCUGCAACUCGACUGCGUGAAGCUGGAAUCGCUAGUAAUCGCGGAUCAGCAUGCCGCGGUGGAAUAACGUUCCCCGGGCCUUGUACACACCGCCCCGUCACACCACGAGAGUUUGCAACACCCGAAGUCGGUGAGGUAACCUUUAU